CCGGCGAUGUCCGAAUGGGGAAACCCAGUGCAAUUCGUUGCACUAUCGUUAACUGAAUACAUAGGUUAACGAGGCGAACCGGGGGAACUGAAACAUCUAAGUACCCCGAGGAAAAGAAAUCAACCGAGAUUCCCCCAGUAGCGGCGAGCGAACGGGGAGCAGCCCAGAGUCUGAAUCAGCUUGUGUGUUAGUGGAACGGUCUGGAAAGUCCGACGGUACAGGGUGAUAGUCCCGUACACCAAAAUGCACAGGCUGUGAACUCGAAGAGUAGGGCGGGACACGUGGUAUCCUGUCUGAAUAUGGGGGGACCAUCCUCCAAGGCUAAAUACUCCUGACUGACCGAUAGUGAACCAGUACCGUGAGGGAAAGGCGAAAAGAACCCCGGCGAGGGGAGUGAAAAAGAACCUGAAACCGUGUACGUACAAGCAGUGGGAGCACCUUCGGGUGUGACUGCGUACCUUUUGUAUAAUGGGUCAGCGACUUAUAUUCUGUAGCAAGGUUAACCGUAUAGGGGAGCCGCAGGGAAACCGAGUCUUAACUGGGCGUUAAGUUGCAGGGUAUAGACCCGAAACCCGGUGAUCUAGCCAUGGGCAGGUUGAAGGUUGGGUAACACUAACUGGAGGACCGAACCGACUAAUGUUGAAAAAUUAGCGGAUGACUUGUGGCUGGGGGUGAAAGGCCAAUCAAACCGGGAGAUAGCUGGUUCUCCCCGAAAGCUAUUUAGGUAGCGCCUCGUGAACUCAUCUUCGGGGGUAGAGCACUGUUUCGGCUAGGGGGUCAUCCCGACUUACCAACCCGAUGCAAACUACGAAUACCGAAGAAUGUUAUCACGGGAGACACACGGCGGGUGCUAACGUCCGUCGUGAAGAGGGAAACAACCCAGACCGCCAGCUAAGGUCCCAAAGUCAUGGUUAAGUGGGAAACGAUGUGGGAAGGCACAGACAGCCAGGAUGUUGGCUUAGAAGCAGCCAUCAUUUAAAGAAAGCGUAAUAGCUCACUGGUCGAGUCGGCCUGCGCGGAAGAUGUAACGGGGCUAAACCAUGCACCGAAGCUGCGGCAGCGACACUAUGUGUUGUUGGGUAGGGGAGCGUUCUGUAAGCCUGCGAAGGUGACCUGUGAGGCAUGCUGGAGGUAUCAGAAGUGCGAAUGCUGACAUAAGUAACGAUAAAGCGGGUGAAAAGCCCGCUCGCCGGAAGACCAAGGGUUCCUGUCCAACGUUAAUCGGGGCAGGGUGAGUCGACCCCUAAGGCGAGGCCGAAAGGCGUAGUCGAUGGGAAACAGGUUAAUAUUCCUGUACUUGGUGUUACUGCGAAGGGGGGACGGAGAAGGCUAUGUUAGCCGGGCGACGGUUGUCCCGGUUUAAGCAUGUAGGCUGAUUAUCCAGGCAAAUCCGGAUAAUCAAGGCUGAGGUGUGAUGACGAGGCACUACGGUGCUGAAGUAACAAAUGCCCUGCUUCCAGGAAAAGCCUCUAAGCAUCAGGUAACAUCAAAUCGUACCCCAAACCGACACAGGUGGUCAGGUAGAGAAUACCAAGGCGCUUGAGAGAACUCGGGUGAAGGAACUAGGCAAAAUGGUGCCGUAACUUCGGGAGAAGGCACGCUGGUGUGUAGGUGAAGUCCCUGCGGAUGGAGCUGAGACCAGUCGAAGAUACCAGCUGGCUGCAACUGUUUAUUAAAAACACAGCACUGUGCAAACACGAAAGUGGACGUAUACGGUGUGACGCCUGCCCGGUGCCGGAAGGUUAAUUGAUGGGGUUAUCCGUAAGGAGAAGCUCUUGAUCGAAGCCCCGGUAAACGGCGGCCGUAACUAUAACGGUCCUAAGGUAGCGAAAUUCCUUGUCGGGUAAGUUCCGACCUGCACGAAUGGCGUAAUGAUGGCCAGGCUGUCUCCACCCGAGACUCAGUGAAAUUGAACUCGCUGUGAAGAUGCAGUGUACCCGCGGCAAGACGGAAAGACCCCGUGAACCUUUACUAUAGCUUGACACUGAACAUUGAGCCUUGAUGUGUAGGAUAGGUGGGAGGCUUUGAAGCGUGGACGCCAGUCUGCGUGGAGCCAACCUUGAAAUACCACCCUUUAAUGUUUGAUGUUCUAACGUUGGCCCCUUACCGGGGUUGCGGACAGUGUCUGGUGGGUAGUUUGACUGGGGCGGUCUCCUCCCAAAGCGUAACGGAGGAGCACGAAGGUUAGCUAAUCCUGGUCGGACAUCAGGAGGUUAGUGCAAUGGCAUAAGCUAGCUUGACUGCGAGCGUGACGGCGCGAGCAGGUGCGAAAGCAGGUCAUAGUGAUCCGGUGGUUCUGAAUGGAAGGGCCAUCGCUCAACGGAUAAAAGGUACUCCGGGGAUAACAGGCUGAUACCGCCCAAGAGUUCAUAUCGACGGCGGUGUUUGGCACCUCGAUGUCGGCUCAUCACAUCCUGGGGCUGAAGUAGGUCCCAAGGGUAUGGCUGUUCGCCAUUUAAAGUGGUACGCGAGCUGGGUUUAGAACGUCGUGAGACAGUUCGGUCCCUAUCUGCCGUGGGCGCUGGAGAAUUGAGGGGGGCUGCUCCUAGUACGAGAGGACCGGAGUGGACGCAUCACUGGUGUUCGGGUUGUCAUGCCAAUGGCACUGCCCGGUAGCUAAAUGCGGAAGAGAUAAGUGCUGAAAGCAUCUAAGCACGAAACUUGCCCCGAGAUGAGUUCUCCCUGAGACUUUAAGUCUCCUGAAGGAACGUUGAAGACGACGACGUUGAUAGGCCGGGUGUGUAAGCGCAGCGAUGCGUUGAGCUAACCGGUACUAAUGAACCGUGAGGCUUAACCUU
This 2798-nucleotide ribosomal RNA is filed under the name Klebsiella pneumoniae. Its description in RNAcentral is "bacterial LSU rRNA". It matches the Rfam family "Bacterial large subunit ribosomal RNA". The record is from RNAcentral. Lineage: Bacteria; Pseudomonadati; Pseudomonadota; Gammaproteobacteria; Enterobacterales; Enterobacteriaceae.